GACGAACGCUGGCGGCGUGCUUAACACAUGCAAGUCGAACGGAAAGGCCCUGCUUUUGUGGGGUGCUCGAGUGGCGAACGGGUGAGUAACACGUGAGUAACCUGCCCUUGACUUUGGGAUAACUUCAGGAAACUGGGGCUAAUACCGGAUAGGAGCUCCUGCUGCAUGGUGGGGGUUGGAAAGUUUCGGCGGUUGGGGAUGGACUCGCGGCCUAUCAGCUUGUUGGUGGGGUAGUGGCUUACCAAGGCUUUGACGGGUAGCCGGCCUGAGAGGGUGACCGGCCACAUUGGGACUGAGAUACGGCCCAGACUCCUACGGGAGGCAGCAGUGGGGAAUAUUGCACAAUGGGCGGAAGCCUGAUGCAGCAACGCCGCGUGCGGGAUGACGGCCUUCGGGUUGUAAACCGCUUUCGCCUGUGACGAAGCGUGAGCGACGGUAAUGGGUAAAGAAGCACCGGCUAACUACGUG
RNAcentral lists this ribosomal RNA (468 nucleotides) under uncultured bacterium. Its description in RNAcentral is "partial 16S ribosomal RNA". It matches the Rfam family "Bacterial small subunit ribosomal RNA", at positions 28 to 507 of the family's 1533-position model. The record is from RNAcentral.